AGUGAACGCUGGCGGCAGGCCUAACACAUGCAAGUCGAACGGCAGCACAAGAGAGCUUGCUCUCUGGGUGGCGAGUGGCGGGCGGGUGAGGAAUGCAUCGGAAUCUGCCCAUUUGUGGGGGAUAACCUCGGGAAACCGGGACUAAUACCGCAUACGACCUACGGGUGAAAGCAGGGGAUCUUCGGACCUUGCGCAGAUGGAUGAGCCGAUGCCGGAUUAGCUAGUUGGAGGGGUAAAGGCCCACCAAGGCGACGAUCCGUAGCUGGUCUGAGAGGAUGAUCAGCCACACUGGGACUGAGACACGGCCCAGACUCCUACGGGAGGCAGCAGUGGGGAAUAUUGGACAAUGGGCGCAAGCCUGAUCCAGCCAUGCCGCGUGUGUGAAGAAGGCCUUCGGGUUGUAAAGCACUUUUGUUGGGAAAGAAAAGCAGCCGGUUAAUACCCGGUUGUCAUGACGGUACCCAAAGAAUAAGCACCGGCUAACUUCGUG
RNAcentral lists this ribosomal RNA (490 nucleotides) under uncultured bacterium. RNAcentral describes it as "partial 16S ribosomal RNA". It matches the Rfam family "Bacterial small subunit ribosomal RNA", at positions 29 to 507 of the family's 1533-position model. The record is from RNAcentral.